UGAACAAUUAUCAUCCAAUUGUGAAACUAUUGGCCUCGCCAGACUGUUUGAAUUCAUCACUGAGCUGCUGAAACGUGAUGUCCAUUUCCAGAGCAUAUGAAGGCCUGGGCAGGACGGCUUCAGAGCUGUAUUUACCACAGCGUUGACUCUGCUGAGGUGGCUAAAGCUUCGGAGAAAGCAACGACAUUAAGUUGGGGAAAGGGCUCGUUGGCUCAGGUGACGGUCCUGGAAAAUGCCCCAGCCUCGGCUGUUGAGAAAGGUGUCUACUUUUGAUCUCCGUUCCAUGUUGCCCAAUGCCUGGAAUCUGAGCGCUGGGUGAUGGGUCGCUGGAGUUGAGAUGCAGGUGCUGGGAGCUGCUCUACAAGCACAGAAGAUUGAGCAAAUGUAGCAGUCUGCCUUAGCCUCCCACCUCACCUGACUGCUUGCAAUCUAGGACACGGAAGCAAGACACCUCCGCCCACCCCACCCCCUUCUUCCUUCCUUCCUUCCUCACAUCAGCUUGCUGCUACCAGCCAGCCUAGAUGUCUCCUAAGGCGGCUAUGGAGCAGAUUCUGCGUGGCCUGUUGCCGAAAGCAACCAAUCAUCACCACCCCAAAGCCUGAGGGGCACCCCGGGAGGCAGGAGUGGAACAAUUGCAGCAGCUCUUCAGCCUGUGAGACUUCACUUAUUUCCCCCGGAAUAAGGAAAGCUAACGUGAUGGAGCAGCAAAUAUAGCAAUAAGCACAGCAAGAGUAGCAGGUGGCUGGAGCUCUUGUAAGACUCAUGCUCCGGUCCCUGCCACAUCGUCUUCCUGCAGGUCAGCGAGGCGAGGGUCAGUAUGGACAUCAGCUCCAAGCUGACAGCACCCGACUGCCGGGAUUCCUUCCUUCCCAUGGAAAGAGCAUGAGCCUUGGAGUCAGAGGAACUGG
Long non-coding RNA from Ornithorhynchus anatinus (platypus), 908 nucleotides. RefSeq lists it as uncharacterized. NCBI's taxonomy places the organism in Eukaryota, Metazoa, Chordata, Mammalia, Monotremata, Ornithorhynchidae. The transcript is spliced from 6 exons. The record is from RefSeq and is a predicted model, not a curated record.